RNAcentral lists this ribosomal RNA (253 nucleotides) under uncultured bacterium. Its description in RNAcentral is "partial 16S ribosomal RNA". It matches the Rfam family "Bacterial small subunit ribosomal RNA", at positions 524 to 776 of the family's 1533-position model. The record is from RNAcentral.
UACGGAGGGGGCUAGCGUUGUUCGGAAUUACUGGGCGUAAAGCGCACGUAGGCGGCUUUGUAAGUUAGAGGUGAAAGCCCGGGGCUCAACUCCGGAAUUGCCUUUAAGACUGCAUCGCUAGAAUUGUGGAGAGGUAAGUGGAAUUCCGAGUGUAGAGGUGAAAUUCGUAGAUAUUCAGAAGAACACCAGUGGCGAAGGCGACUAACUGGACAUGUAUUGACGCUGAGGUGCGAAAGCGUGGGGAGCAAACAGG